Dermacentor silvarum is the source of this 800-nucleotide RNA transcript. RefSeq lists it as uncharacterized. The transcript has 5 exons. Lineage: Eukaryota; Metazoa; Arthropoda; Arachnida; Ixodida; Ixodidae. The record is from RefSeq and is a predicted model, not a curated record.
UGCGACGUUGGCACCGCAGGCUUCUGCUACUUUGCUGGCUCGGGCAGUGCGUACCGCUGUGGUACAUUACUCGCAGCGCAAAACUUUAAGGACCACUCAGCGGCGUUCAAUAGGACAUUAAUGCUUUCGCAUUCACAACUCAUAAGUGCUUGGGUGUCAUCGGAUGUUUCAGGGUGGCGCGACAAAUUUGACGCAAAUGUGGGGAAAUGCACUGUAGUUACCAAGCGUCGGCCACUAUUUCUCUUAAUAGGAGUCUUGUGAUUUCUACGCAGGGUCGGACCAAAGGCAUGAAAGUUGCCUUCGGGUGGAUCCUCCUCCAGGCGGUCGGAAACGUUAUGUACGUGUACGGAUGCGUCCUGUACGAGACGGUCAUCAUGCUGCCGUGUUUCGAGUGAGCAAGCCAGGAGAAAUCCCGACCAACUAGAGGCUAACAGCUUCAUUGUAAAACAUAAUGAGUGAAUCCCGAGAUCGUGAUCUCCUUCCCGGCCGCAGCAUACAUGUACUCCCACAGUACACGAAUAGCCGGCGCGACAGCCUGGCUUCUUGGUGAGGCGUACGUGCUUUCCAGGAUGUACGAGUUCCAGAGCGUGUUCGCGGCACCGGAUCACUAGCGGGCCCAUGGGAAGGAACAGGCAGCACCUGCUCUUGCGCACGCCCAAUGAUCCUCCCGCUGUCUUCCCGCGGGGCAAUGAUUUAAGAUAUUGUUCAAUAAACUCACGCAUAUCUGUGAGAUUGCGGUCCUACGUUCGAGACGGACAAGAUUCUGUGAUUUCAUAAAACUUUGCAGGUUUUCGUGCUCA